This is a long non-coding RNA of Patella vulgata (common limpet), 787 nucleotides long. RefSeq lists it as uncharacterized. The record is from RefSeq and is a predicted model, not a curated record. NCBI's taxonomy places the organism in Eukaryota, Metazoa, Mollusca, Gastropoda, Patellidae. The transcript is spliced from 3 exons.
CGGAGAAAAUCCAAUAUGUCUGCGCCCAUGAUGAAUAGAAAAUGUGUUUUAAGUCUUUUCAUAUCCAGCUUGAGACAAUUACAGGAAGUGAGUUUAUCGAAGCCAUAUUUAAACACAAUACGACUCAGAUUACCUCAAAAUAUUUACGUCAGAAAUUCGUUGGAAAAUCCCUUCAUCAAACAAUUUAACACCACAGCAAGCAAUAGUUUAAAUAUCAAAUAUAAAUUUAGAAAACCAGUGAAGCACGAUCCAUUAGAAACUGUGCAGCUUUUUGAUUCUUCUGACAAACUGAUAUGUAAAUUAACACUGAGUGAUGCCCAAAAGAAGGCAAAGAAGGAAAACAUGAAACUUUUAGAUAUUGGCAGAAACCCAGAUGGUGUUCUUUCAUUUCAAUAUUUGAGUGGAAAAGACCUGUACCAGGAAGGAAUGAAACUGAGAAAAAUUAAAAAAGGUUCUAAAGAAAAAGAAAUGAAGGUAGUGGAUAUAUUGUGGAAAAUAGAAGAUCAUGAUCUAAAUAGAAAACUGGACAAUGCUGUGGAAAGUCUAAAAAAAGGUCAUCCGGUAAAGUUUAAUAUUAAAGGAAAAGUCCGACUUGCAGAGGAAGCUAAACAUAAAUUACUUCUAAAUGAAUUAAAAAAGAAAGUAAAAAAUAAAAUUGAAACUCUUGCAUUAAUAGACGAGGCCGCAAGCGAAGGCAUAACAUUUAGACUUGUGGCUAGGCCCAUUGAAGAAGUUAGCCCAGAGGGAGUUAGUCCAGAGGAAGUUAGUCCAGAAGAAGAAAAGUAGA